GGUUCCAUAGUGUAGUGGUUAGCAUGUCUGCUUUACACGCAUAAGGUCCUGGGUUUGCACCCCAGUGGAGCCA
RNAcentral lists this transfer RNA (73 nucleotides) under Pteropus alecto (black flying fox). It matches the Rfam family "tRNA". From Rfam's summary of the family: Transfer RNA (tRNA) molecules are approximately 80 nucleotides in length. Their secondary structure includes four short double-helical elements and three loops (D, anti-codon, and T loops). Further hydrogen bonds mediate the characteristic L-shaped molecular structure. tRNAs have two regions of fundamental functional importance: the anti-codon, which is responsible for specific mRNA codon recognition, and the 3' end, to which the tRNAs corresponding amino acid is attached (by aminoacyl-tRNA synthetases). tRNAs cope with the degeneracy of the genetic code in two manners: having more than one tRNA (with a specific anti-codon) for a particular amino acid; and 'wobble' base-pairing, i.e. permitting non-standard base-pairing at the 3rd anti-codon position. Lineage: Eukaryota; Metazoa; Chordata; Mammalia; Chiroptera; Pteropodidae. RNAcentral also lists the same sequence under 1 other name. The record is from Rfam by way of RNAcentral.